This 390-nucleotide ribosomal RNA is filed under the name uncultured bacterium. Its description in RNAcentral is "bacterial SSU rRNA". It matches the Rfam family "Bacterial small subunit ribosomal RNA", at positions 30 to 416 of the family's 1533-position model. The record is from RNAcentral.
AUUUGAACGCUGGCGGCAUGCCUUACACAUGCAAGUCGAACGGCAGCACGGAGCUUGCUCCUGGUGGCGAGUGGCGAACGGGUGAGUAAUACAUCGGAACGUACCCUGAAGUGGGGGAUAACGUAGCGAAAGUUACGCUAAUACCGCAUAUUCUGUGAGCAGGAAAGAGGGGGAUCGCAAGACCUCUUGCUUUAGGAGCGGCCGAUGUCGGAUUAGCUAGUUGGUGAGGUAAAGGCUCACCAAGGCGACGAUCCGUAGCGGGUCUGAGAGGAUGAUCCGCCACACUGGGACUGAGACACGGCCCAGACUCCUACGGGGGCAGCCAGUCGGGGAAUUUUGGACAAUGGGCGCAAGCCUGAUCCGAGCCAUGCCGCGUGAGUGAAGAAGGCC